RNAcentral lists this ribosomal RNA (254 nucleotides) under uncultured bacterium. RNAcentral describes it as "partial 16S ribosomal RNA". It matches the Rfam family "Bacterial small subunit ribosomal RNA", at positions 524 to 776 of the family's 1533-position model. The record is from RNAcentral.
UACGAGGGGGGGCAAGCGUUGUUCGGAAUUAUUGGGCGUAAAGGGUGCGUAGGCGGUUUGGUAAGUCUUAUGUGAAAUCUACAGGCUCAACUUGUAGUCUGCAUGAGAAACUGCCGGGCUUGAGUAUGGGAGAGGUGAGUGGAAUUCCUGGUGUAGCGGUGAAAUGCGUAGAUAUCAGGAGGAACACCGAUGGCGAAGGCAGGUCUCUGGGCCGAUACUGACGCUGAGGAGCGAAAGCGUGGGGAGCGAACAGG